UACGGAGGGGGCUAGCGUUGUUCGGAAUUACUGGGCGUAAAGCGCGCGUAGGCGGCUUUGUAAGUUAGAGGGGAAAGCCCGGAGCUCAACUCCGGAACUGCCUUUAAAACUGCAUCGCUUGAAUCCAGGAGAGGUGAGUGGAAUUCCGAGUGUAGAGGUGAAAUUCGUAGAUAUUCGGAAGAACACCAGUGGCGAAGGCGGCUCACUGGACUGGUAUUGACGCUGAGGUGCGAAAGCGUGGGGAGCAAACAGG
RNAcentral lists this ribosomal RNA (253 nucleotides) under uncultured bacterium. RNAcentral's name for it is "partial 16S ribosomal RNA". It matches the Rfam family "Bacterial small subunit ribosomal RNA", at positions 524 to 776 of the family's 1533-position model. The record is from RNAcentral.